UGUUUUGAUAACAGUAAUGU
Molecule: microRNA, 20 nt
Filed under: Homo sapiens (human)
Lineage: Eukaryota; Metazoa; Chordata; Mammalia; Primates; Hominidae
Description: hsa-miR-2052
Source: miRBase by way of RNAcentral